UCUUCCACAUGGCGUAGAACGCUCAUCUUUUGACAGAAUCCUUCUUUUAAUUUCCAGAAAAUAACUUGUUACACGGUGC
Diprion similis is the source of this 79-nucleotide long non-coding RNA. RefSeq lists it as uncharacterized. The transcript has 3 exons. The record is from RefSeq and is a predicted model, not a curated record. NCBI's taxonomy places the organism in Eukaryota, Metazoa, Arthropoda, Insecta, Hymenoptera, Diprionidae.